This 219-nucleotide long non-coding RNA is filed under the name Elaeis guineensis (African oil palm). Its description in RNAcentral is "long non-coding RNA (EGUI_LNC006861)". Lineage: Eukaryota; Viridiplantae; Streptophyta; Magnoliopsida; Arecales; Arecaceae. The record is from RNAcentral.
CGGCAGAAGAAAAAUGGAGAAGAAGGAGCACCUAGAUGGCAAGAGAAGGAGCGAAAGUUCCAGAACUAACCUGUCGCUCCGAGGGAUGCAGAGGUGCAGGGACAGGGAUGACUCGAAGAACACCUAGGGCCAAAACGGAUGCCAAGGAAGGUCAGAGCUCUCGGAGAGAAGGCGGGCACCAACAGGACUUUCAGGCAGAACGAAACUCCUUGAGGCAGA